This 253-nucleotide ribosomal RNA is filed under the name uncultured bacterium. RNAcentral describes it as "partial 16S ribosomal RNA". It matches the Rfam family "Bacterial small subunit ribosomal RNA", at positions 524 to 776 of the family's 1533-position model. The record is from RNAcentral.
UACGAAGGGGGCUAGCGUUGUUCGGAAUUACUGGGCGUAAAGCGUGCGCAGGCGGCUGCUCAAGUCGGGUGUGAAAGCCCGGGGCUCAACCCCGGAACGGCACCCGAGACUGGGCGGCUCGAGACCGGGAGAGGUGGGUGGAAUACCCAGUGUAGAGGUGAAAUUCGUAGAUAUUGGGUGGAACACCGGUGGCGAAAGCGGCUCACUGGCCCGGUUCUGACGCUGAGGCGCGAAAGCGUGGGGAGCAAACAGG